Molecule: ribosomal RNA, 253 nt
Filed under: uncultured bacterium
Lineage: Bacteria
Also listed under: 1 other name
Description: partial 16S ribosomal RNA
Rfam family: Bacterial small subunit ribosomal RNA
Source: RNAcentral
UACGGGGGGAGCAAGCGUUGUUCGGAAUCACUGGGCGUAAAGGGCGUGUAGGCGGUUCGGUAAGUGGGAUGUGAAAUGCCCGGGCUCACCCCGGGACCUGCAUCCCAUACUGCUGAGCUUGAGUACAGGAGAGGGUGGGGGAAUUCCUGGUGUAGCGGUGAAAUGCGUAGAUAUCAGGAGGAACACCGGUGGCGAAGGCGCCCACCUGGCCUGCUACUGACGCUGAUGCGCGAAAGCUAGGGGAGCAAACGGG